Molecule: non-coding RNA, 214 nt
Organism: Pelobates cultripes (western spadefoot toad)
Lineage: Eukaryota; Metazoa; Chordata; Amphibia; Anura; Pelobatidae
Source: the annotation of a GenBank genome assembly
CACAGAUUCACACCCUGACACACACACACACACUCAAACUCAUACACACACUCACACACUCAUAAUACACAUACACACACUCAUACUCACACUCAUAAACAUACACUUAUACUCACACACACUUAAACUCAUACACACACUCAUACACAUACACACGCUCACACAAAUACAAGUGAUUUUUUAAAUAUCUCCAGCCACCCUCCUGUUAGCUUAC